Molecule: small nuclear RNA, 106 nt
Filed under: Pelodiscus sinensis (Chinese soft-shelled turtle)
Lineage: Eukaryota; Metazoa; Chordata; Testudines; Trionychidae
Description: U1 spliceosomal RNA (ENSPSIG00000020060.1)
Rfam family: U1 spliceosomal RNA
About the family: U1 is a small nuclear RNA (snRNA) component of the spliceosome (involved in pre-mRNA splicing). Its 5' end forms complementary base pairs with the 5' splice junction, thus defining the 5' donor site of an intron.
Source: RNAcentral
GGGACUAGAUACCACGAUCACAAAGAUAGUUUUCCCAGGAUGAGGCUCAUCCAUUGCAUUCUGAGUGUGCUGACCCUUCUGAUUUCCCCAAAUGGGGGAAACUUAA